Molecule: long non-coding RNA, 520 nt
Filed under: Oryctolagus cuniculus (rabbit)
Lineage: Eukaryota; Metazoa; Chordata; Mammalia; Lagomorpha; Leporidae
Description: lncRNA (ENSOCUG00000032621.1)
Source: RNAcentral
CAUAAGGAAGCAACACAUACAUCAGGAUGUCAGGCUGCACUGUACCAAGGCAAAGCCUGUUUCUUUUAGCUGUGUCUUGGUCUUCAACACAGGUCCCUCUGUGUAGAAGAUGCUGUGUAAUACAACAGAAAAGAACUGGAAUCCAUUUCAAGCCUAGGAGGAAAUUCAACCUGGACUAUCUUUUUCUUUCAAGAAAAUUAACAAAGAACCAAAGGAGCCCUUUAUCUACCGAGUGCAGACUUCAUUAAUUAAUCCUUUUUAUCUAUGACAGUUAAAGAUUUAGUUGAGUACCAACCACAUAAACAAACCUAUCAUCAAGAUAACGCAUUCAUUUCGAAGUGAGAUUGAUUGCACAGCCUUCAACAGGAGCUCCAGCUCAUUUAUAUACUGACUACAAUGCUCAGCACUUUCACCUGUCACAACAUGCUGCCUGAUGUACCAGCUAAAAGUGACUCCACUACACAGUCUUUUAGGGAAAAUUUUCUCUAGGUAAUAUGUUUUUAAAUGCUUGUAAAAUAAU